AUCAAGAAUCCAAAGAAGAACGAGGAAAAGGAAAAGUUGCGGAAUAGUCCCCAAAUUUCAAUAUCUUCUACAAAUUAGCCGGAUUGACUUGAAGUGAAGUGGGUAGAUCGGAUCAACACAACAAAGCACACUAUCCAGAUCAAUUCCGGUAGCUUUUGUUUUAUGUUUGAAGAUUUAUAUGGCAUGUAUAAAGUUUAAAUGAAAUGAAGUAAAGAUGUUAUAAACUAGUUAACAACAUUUUGUACCAAAACAGUUUUUGGUUAGUAGCAGUAGUUUGAGUUUGAAAAAUUACCAUAAA
Molecule: long non-coding RNA, 298 nt
Organism: Gossypium arboreum
Lineage: Eukaryota; Viridiplantae; Streptophyta; Magnoliopsida; Malvales; Malvaceae
Exons: 2
Source: RefSeq, a predicted model, not a curated record